CACCUGUUAUUUCACGGGGCUCCAACUGUGGAGGUGCUGAGAGCACUCCCGCUGUGAUCCCUUCUCUCCCAUGAGACCCAGCACUUCUCUUGCUCCCCAAAAGAUUACAAGCCAAAACCAUGCCCAGAAGUUCCCCAUUUCCUCAUCUGCCC
Phyllostomus discolor (pale spear-nosed bat) is the source of this 152-nucleotide long non-coding RNA. RefSeq lists it as uncharacterized. The record is from RefSeq and is a predicted model, not a curated record. The transcript has 3 exons. NCBI's taxonomy places the organism in Eukaryota, Metazoa, Chordata, Mammalia, Chiroptera, Phyllostomidae.